GUUUAUGUUUCCGUCUCAUUGUUUCUAGGAGGACUCGGAGGAAAUUGUCUCAGGAGGUUUAUGAUCUAUAUUAUACGUCACUACAUCAUCGUGAAAUAUUUAUUUUAAUAUUAAAGAGAACCUCUGCGGUAUUAUACAAAGGUGGUGCUCUUCUCCUGUACUGCAGCAGGUGUGAUUCAACAACUGAUUCUAGGAAGUGUGGUGGUGCUUGCUGGUUGGUUGGUUCAACCCCAGAUCGUCCAGCUAUGACCCAGUUCCUACAUGAAAAAGAACCCAGCCACCGGAUCGACUCUCUGCUGCUGCGUUGCUUGGGUGCUACUUGGAUUUCUGUUGUUGCCUUGUUGUCUGCCUGGUUAUUGAGACAUGUGAACAUAUAAGUUUUCGUUUCUCAAAUUCAACAUUCAUAUUUGCAGAUGGCUCCAAAAGAUUUUUAUACAGGACGUGCAAAUGUAAUGGUAUACAUUCCAGAGAAGGCAAUUAAUUUCUUCUCAUUUAUUUUUUUUUCAUGGAAAUAUUGUCUAGUAGCGUCUUUGGGUCCUUGCUUAUGUCACCAUCGGAGGGAAUGAGCAAACUGAUAUCUUGGCUAAGCAAGCAGAGAAGCAGGGAAGGAUUGUCCCACAAGUAAAAUUGAAGCAAAGUCAAGGAUUGAAUCAUAUACACAGUCAAUCUGGCAGGAGCCCUGAGAUAAUGGUGAAACAGACAUUUUUUUUAGUUUAGUUUUAUUUUGUUAUUUAUUUAAUGGUUAUUAUUCUGGUAGCCUGUCAUACUGUUUGCAUGGAUGAACUUUAGGAUCAAUAAAACGUUUAUAGUGCAUGGGCUUUAGGUGAGUUGGAGAACCUUUACACCUUUUACAUCUAACUGACUAGUUUGAACGUAUUGUUUGAUGCCACCUGUGUUUUUUUUCUUGGAUAAAGGCCUUGCUUCAUUACAUUUGGCGUCGCACAACUGAGGAAGAAUUGAAAUCUAUGAAUCUGACAUGGGGAGAUGUCUUCUACUUCUUCUACUCUAAGUCCUCCAGCUCACCACAUCUUGCCUUAUAACACUCCUCAACUGUAAAGGAAACUAAUGUCCUUAAAUAACCCAGACCCCCUUAAAACUAAAGUUUUUACCUCAGAAAUGGCUAAAGAAAGUCUACAGUUAACCAACCAAGUCAAACAAGUUGGUAUGCAGCUGUAACUUUAACAAUGUGGAAUUGCGACUCCACCCUUCUAACUAGUUUGUUUGUGCAGUGAAGUUUGAAUGACAGUGGGGUAUGUUUGACAGCAAUGUAGCAAUUGUAGCAAUGGGAAAGGUCAUCCAGGUUAGCACAAAUUGAGGUCAUCAGGCUGCACAGGAUGCUUAGGAAAUCAGAGAGAUAUGGCGAGUCAGUCAGUCUGUGUUGACUUUACGUGUCCACUAGAUGGAGCCAGAAACCAUGUUAUACUGUACUGUGUCUGAGAGGCAACAAGAAGAAAUAAACUGUCAAGAAAAUGACUUCAUGAAUAACUCAGUCUUCAUGUUAAUCCACCAACUAAGUUUAGUAGUGUACAAACCAAAGUGGUAAAGAUGAAUAACAUAUGACAUGAUAUUGGACUUGACUGAGCCCCUGAUCUUAUCAAAAGCUAC
This is a long non-coding RNA of Mugil cephalus (flathead mullet), 1605 nucleotides long. RefSeq lists it as uncharacterized. The record is from RefSeq and is a predicted model, not a curated record. NCBI's taxonomy places the organism in Eukaryota, Metazoa, Chordata, Actinopteri, Mugiliformes, Mugilidae. The transcript has 3 exons.